AUUGAACGCUGGCGGCAGGCCUAACACAUGCAAGUCGAGCGGAUGAAGGGAGCUUGCUCUUGGAUUCAGCGGCGGACGGGUGAGUAAUGCCUAGGAAUCUGCCUGGUAGUGGGGGAUAACGUCCGGAAACGGGCGCUAAUACCGCAUACGUCCUGCGGGAGAAAGUGGGGGUUCUUCGGACCUCACGCUAUCAGUUGAGCCUAGGUCGGAUUAGCUAGUUGGUGGGGUAAAGGCCUACCAAGGCGACGAUCCGUAACUGGUCUGAGAGGAUGAUCAGUCACACUGGAACUGAGACACGGUCCAGACUCCUACGGGAGGCAGCAGUGGGGAAUAUUGGACAAUGACCGAAAGCCUGAUCCAGCCAUGCCGCGUGUGUGAAGAAGGUCUUCGGAUUGUAAAGCACUUUAAGUUGGGAGGAAGGGCAGUAAGUUAAUACCUUGCUGUUGUGACGUUACCAACAGAAUAAGCACCGGCUAACUUCGUG
RNAcentral lists this ribosomal RNA (484 nucleotides) under uncultured bacterium. RNAcentral's name for it is "partial 16S ribosomal RNA". It matches the Rfam family "Bacterial small subunit ribosomal RNA", at positions 30 to 507 of the family's 1533-position model. The record is from RNAcentral.